UCGCGAGACAGUUUGUAUGAUAUCUACUAGGUGUGUUAUUGUCUGAGUGGAACGAGUUAGUAGUACGAGAGGAACCUGACUCGGAUGCCUCUGGUGAGCGGUUGUCAUUGGCAGGCCGCAUAGCUACGCAUUUUAUGGAUAAGAGCUGAAAGCAUCUAAGCUCGAAGCCACCCGCAAGACGAGACAAUUAAAGCCGUCGAAAAACACGACGUCGAUAGAGUUGCUGUGUAAGGCUCAAGCCGCAAGGCGAGAGUUUCAGCAGACAACUACUAAAAGCUUCACUUGUGAUUUAA
Molecule: ribosomal RNA, 293 nt
Filed under: Candidatus Pacearchaeota archaeon
Lineage: Archaea; Nanobdellati
Description: partial 23S ribosomal RNA
Rfam family: Archaeal large subunit ribosomal RNA
Source: RNAcentral